UACGGAAGGGGCUAGCGUUGUUCGGGAUUACUGGGCGUAAAGAGCGCGUAGGCGGCUUACCAAGUUGGGGGUGAAAACCCGGAGCUCAACUCCGGAACUGCCUUCAAAACUGGUAGGCUCGAGUCCGGAAGAGGGGCGUGGAAUUCCCAGUGUAGAGGUGAAAUUCGUAGAUAUUGGGAAGAACACCGGUGGCGAAGGCGGCGCCCUGGUCCGGUACUGACGCUGAGGCGCGAAAGCGUGGGGAGCAAACAGG
This 253-nucleotide ribosomal RNA is filed under the name uncultured bacterium. RNAcentral's name for it is "partial 16S ribosomal RNA". It matches the Rfam family "Bacterial small subunit ribosomal RNA", at positions 524 to 776 of the family's 1533-position model. The record is from RNAcentral.